GACGAACGCUGGUGGCGUGCUUAACACAUGCAAGUCGAACGGAAAGGCCCUGCUUUUGUGGGGUGCUCGAGUGGCGAACGGGUGAGUAACACGUGAGUAACCUGCCCUUGACUUUGGGAUAACUUCAGGAAACUGGGGCUAAUACCGGAUAGGAGCUCCUGCUGCAUGGUGGGGGUUGGAAAGUUUCGGCGGUUGGGGAUGGACUCGCGGCUUAUCAGCUUGUUGGUGGGGUAGUGGCUUACCAAGGCUUUGACGGGUAGCCGGCCUGAGGGGGUGACCGGCCACAUUGGGACUGAGAUACGGCCCAGACUCCUACGGGAGGCAGCAGUGGGGAAUAUUGCACAAUGGGCGGAAGCCGGAUGCAGCAACGCCGCGUGCGGGAUGACGGCCUUCGGGUUGUAAACCGCUUUCGCCUGUGACGAAGCGUGAGUGACGGUAAUGGGUAAAGAAGCACCGGCUAACUACGUG
Molecule: ribosomal RNA, 468 nt
Filed under: uncultured bacterium
Lineage: Bacteria
Description: partial 16S ribosomal RNA
Rfam family: Bacterial small subunit ribosomal RNA
Source: RNAcentral